UGCAACCCAAAAGGUGUCUUUUCGGUGCACUCCAAAAGAUACAUUUUCUCAUUCCUCAUUCAUAUCUUAAAAUCCCAACAUCAAUUAGUGAUUGUUAUAAAAACUCAUAGUAAUAAACUUCAAAUAAUGGAUAUGUCUCUAUUUAUAUACGGGGAUGAGCUGAGUGCAUACGUGAAGGCAAAUAAUAUCUCCCAACACUUCAGAAAUGCCAUAGCCAGUUGGUAGAGUAGUGUACAAUUAGCAAGGAGUAAUUAUGAGAUCCACCAAAAUCCAACUUUUUGGUGAUUCUGCCAGAUAUCAACUGUUCAAUUUCUUGUUAGGAAUAAAGUGGUGUGAAGAUGAAGAAAUUUGGAGCAAAUAUUGAAUAAAAAGUGCAAGAACAAGAAAAAUAGAACCGAUGGAAAAAUAAGAGAUAUGUAACGUUGAAGUGGAAAGAAGAAAAGGAAAAGAGAGAGAGGAGAGAAGUGGGGAACAUAAUUAUGGGCUAAUGAUGGGAGAAAGUAACAUUUGCAAAAGAUGAAUUAAAUUGAAGAAAGGAAAGAACGCCUGGAAGGCGGCUGCGAGAAUUGAGCUGCUGGAAAAUUGCGCGUAUGCGACGCGCAGCGUUCCUCGAGCCCGCUACUCUUUCUUGAUCCGAGUUGGAUCUGGUUUUUAAAAGCCUAUAAAUUUUGAUACCCUAUAAAUAUACAUUUUACAUAAUUUUGGACCUAGAGAGAGUUUGGAGCCGCCGUAGAGGCCGGAAUUACAGAGUUUUACCUUCUCUUCUCUGUAUUACUCGUUUUUAUAUUUUUAUUCGGAUGAUUUGUUAUUUUUCCUUCAUGUCUAUGUGGAGCUAAACUCUUUAGUUCUA
Molecule: long non-coding RNA, 850 nt
Organism: Lycium barbarum (goji berry)
Lineage: Eukaryota; Viridiplantae; Streptophyta; Magnoliopsida; Solanales; Solanaceae
Exons: 2
Source: RefSeq, a predicted model, not a curated record